RNAcentral lists this transfer RNA (108 nucleotides) under Pseudogymnoascus sp. WSF 3629. It matches the Rfam family "tRNA". From Rfam's summary of the family: Transfer RNA (tRNA) molecules are approximately 80 nucleotides in length. The record is from Rfam by way of RNAcentral. Lineage: Eukaryota; Fungi; Ascomycota; Leotiomycetes; Thelebolales; Thelebolaceae.
GCUUUCGUGGCUCAGUUGGCUAGAGCGUUGGUCUCAUAUCGUCGAUAUGACGUAACUGUUAACAGUCACGUGAUCCAAAGGUCGCAAGUUCGAGCCUUGCCGAGAGCA